RNAcentral lists this ribosomal RNA (459 nucleotides) under uncultured bacterium. Its description in RNAcentral is "partial 16S ribosomal RNA". It matches the Rfam family "Bacterial small subunit ribosomal RNA", at positions 338 to 795 of the family's 1533-position model. The record is from RNAcentral.
ACUACGGGAGGCAGCAGUGAGGAAUAUUGGUCAAUGGGCGGAAGCCUGAACCAGCCAAGUAGCGUGCAGGAUGACGGCCCUACGGGUUGUAAACUGCUUUUAUACGGGAAUAACGCGCCUUACGUGUAGGGCUUUGCAUGUACCGUAUGAAUAAGGACCGGCUAAUUCCGUGCCAGCAGCCGCGGUAAUACGGAAGGUCCGGGCGUUAUCCGGAUUUAUUGGGGUUAAAGGGAGCGUAGGCCGCAUGUCAAGCGUGCUGUGAAAUGUCCGGGCUACACCCCGGCCAGCCGUGGAAACUGGCUGUCUUGAGAUGUCGAGAGGUAUGCGGAAUGCGCAGUGUAGCGGUGAAAUGCUUAGAUAGUGCGCAGAACUCCGAUGGCGAAGGCAGCAUACCGGCGGCGAUCUGACGCUGAGGCACGAAAGCGUGGGUAUCGAACAGGAUUAGAUACCCCAGUAGUC